Molecule: ribosomal RNA, 249 nt
Filed under: uncultured bacterium
Lineage: Bacteria
Description: partial 16S ribosomal RNA
Rfam family: Bacterial small subunit ribosomal RNA
Source: RNAcentral
ACGAGUGGCGGACGGGUGAGUAACGCGUAGGGAUCUACCUAGCAAUGGGGGAUAGCCCGGUGAAAACCGGAUUAAUACCGCAUACGUCCUAUGGGAGAAAGGGUGCGACUUCUUCGGAAAGCACUCGUUGUUAGAUGAACCUGCGUCGGAUUAGCUAGUUGGUGGGGUAAGGGCCUACCAAGGCGACGAUCCGUAGCUGGUCUGAGAGGAUGACCAGCCACACUGGGACUGAGACACGGCCCAGACUCC